This 64-nucleotide transfer RNA is filed under the name Pseudunio homsensis. RNAcentral describes it as "Margaritifera homsensis tRNA-Met". Lineage: Eukaryota; Metazoa; Mollusca; Bivalvia; Unionida; Margaritiferidae. The record is from RNAcentral.
AAUCGGGUAAGCUAAGCAAGCUGUUGGGCUCAUAACUCAAAAAUAGACAUAGUUCUCCCUAUUA